RNAcentral lists this ribosomal RNA (464 nucleotides) under uncultured bacterium. RNAcentral describes it as "partial 16S ribosomal RNA". It matches the Rfam family "Bacterial small subunit ribosomal RNA", at positions 339 to 795 of the family's 1533-position model. The record is from RNAcentral.
CUACGGGGGGCUCCAGUGGGGAAUAUUGCACAAUGGGGGAAACCCUGAUGCAGCGACGCCGCGUGCGGGAAGAAGGCCUUAGGGUUGUAAACCGCUUUCAAUUGUGAAGAAGGGAUGAGAGUUAAUAGCUUUCUGACUUGACGGUAGCAUUAGAAGAAGCACCGGCUAAUUUCGUGCCAGCAGCCGCGGUAAUACGAAAGGUGCAAGCGUUGUUCGGAUUUACUGGGCGUAAAGAGAUCGUAGGUGGUUUGUUAAGUCGGAUGUGAAAUCCCGGGGCUCAACCUCGGAACUGCAUCCGAUACUGGCAGGCUAGAGUUCGGGAGGGGAAUGCGGAAUUCCGUGUGUAGCAGUGAAAUGCGUAGAUAUGUGGAGGAACACCAAUGGCGAAGGCAGCUCUCUGGCCUGAUACUGACGCUGAGGUGCGAAAGCGUGGGGAGCAAACAGGAUUAGAUACCCUUGUAGUC